This 271-nucleotide ribosomal RNA is filed under the name uncultured prokaryote. RNAcentral describes it as "partial 16S ribosomal RNA". It matches the Rfam family "Bacterial small subunit ribosomal RNA", at positions 524 to 794 of the family's 1533-position model. The record is from RNAcentral.
UACGUAGGGGCAAGCGUUGUCCGGAAUUACUGGGCGUAAAGGGAGCGUAGGCGGACUUUUAAGUGAGAUGUGAAAUACCCGGGCUCAACUUGGGUGCUGCAUUUCAAACUGGAAGUCUAGAGUGCAGGAGAGGAGAAUGGAAUUCCUAGUGUAGCGGUGAAAUGCGUAGAGAUUAGGAAGAACACCAGUGGCGAAGGCGAUUCUCUGGACUGUAACUGACGCUGAGGCUCGAAAGCGUGGGGAGCAAGCAGGAUUAGAUACCCCCCGUAGU